Molecule: ribosomal RNA, 324 nt
Filed under: uncultured eukaryote
Lineage: Eukaryota
Description: partial 18S ribosomal RNA
Rfam family: Eukaryotic small subunit ribosomal RNA
Source: RNAcentral
CCCUUAGAUGUUCUGGGCCGCACGCGCGCUACACUGAUGCAUUCAACGAGUUUCUUCCUGGUCCGAGAGGAAUGGGUAACCUUUUGAAAGUGCAUCGUGAUAGGGAUAGACUAUUGCAAUUAUUGGUCUUCAACGAGGAAUUCCUAGUAGACGUAGUUCAUCAGACUGCAUCGAUUACGUCCCUGCCCUUUGUACACACCGCCCGUCGCUCUUACCGAUUGAAUGCUCAGGUGAGCCAUUCGGACCUUCAUCAUGCCGGUUUCCGGUUUUGAUGAGGGAAAGUCUUGCGAACCUUAUCAUUUAGAGGAAGGAGAAGUCGUAACA